Cynocephalus volans (Philippine flying lemur) is the source of this 107-nucleotide small nuclear RNA. The record is from RefSeq and is a predicted model, not a curated record. NCBI's taxonomy places the organism in Eukaryota, Metazoa, Chordata, Mammalia, Dermoptera, Cynocephalidae.
GUGCUCACUUUGGCAGCAUAUAUACUAAAAUUGGAAUGAUAUAGAGAAGAUUAGCAUGGCCCCUGUACAAGGAAGACACGCAAAUUCAUGAAGUAUUCUAUAUUGAA